GACGAACGCUGGCGGCGUGCUUAACACAUGCAAGUCGAACGGAAAGGCCCUGCUUUUGUGGGGUGCUCGAGUGGCGAACGGGUGAGUAACACGUGAGUAACCUGCCCUUGACUUUGGGAUAACUUCAGGAAACUGGGGCUAAUACCGGAUAGGAGCUCCUGCUGCAUGGUGGGGGUUGGAAAGUUUCGGCGGUUGGGGAUGGACUCGCGGCUUAUCAGCUUGUUGGUGGGGUAGUGGCUUACCAAGGCUUUGACGGGUAGCCGGCCUGGGAGGGUGACCGGCCACAUUAGGACUGAGAUACGGCGCAGACUCCUACGGGAGGCAGCGGUGGGGAAUAUUGCACAAUGGGCGGAAGCCUGAUGCAGCAACGCCGCGUGCGGGAUGACGGCCUGCGGGUUGUGAACCGCUGUCGCCUGUGACGAAGCGUGAGUGACGGUAAUGGGUAAAGAAGCACCGGCUAACUACGUG
Molecule: ribosomal RNA, 468 nt
Filed under: uncultured bacterium
Lineage: Bacteria
Description: partial 16S ribosomal RNA
Rfam family: Bacterial small subunit ribosomal RNA
Source: RNAcentral